UACGGAGGGUGCAAGCGUUAUCCGGAAUCAUUGGGUUUAAAGGGUCCGCAGGCGGGCUUAUAAGUCAGUGGUGAAAUCUCACAGCUCAACUGUGAAACUGCCAUUGAUACUGUAAGCCUUGAAUUCGGUCGAAGUGGGCGGAAUAUGACAUGUAGCGGUGAAAUGCUUAGAUAUGUCAUAGAACACCGAUAGCGAAGGCAGCUCACUAGGCCUGGAUUGACGCUCAUGGACGAAAGCGUGGGGAGCAAAC
Molecule: ribosomal RNA, 250 nt
Filed under: uncultured bacterium
Lineage: Bacteria
Description: partial 16S ribosomal RNA
Rfam family: Bacterial small subunit ribosomal RNA
Source: RNAcentral